UUUGGAUUUAUUAUUUUUGGACCAGGGGUGCUAAAUUAAUAUUUGUAAUGUAUGUUAUAGGGUGGAUUCAAAGUCUUCCAAGAGUUAUAAGAAGGUUAAUUACUUGGGUUAAUUUGGGACCAAAUUUGAGGUAAGGAUAGAGAUGCACCAGCGAUGGCGCAGCGGAAUUCAUGAUCGAGCCACUGGGACUAGUUUUUACGCUUCCGCAUCAUGAAAUUUAGAAUCCUUAUUUUACCCUCAAUUUCUAGUUUUACUGUUUGAAACUUAUUAUGAAGGAUUGUUACUUUUAUAUUUUAAUAGUCUUUACGAAUUAUGGGUACCCUAUUAUUGUUUUAAAAAUUACAUUUAAUAAAUUUCUUUUGAACUUCU
This is a long non-coding RNA of Benincasa hispida (wax gourd), 369 nucleotides long. RefSeq lists it as uncharacterized. The record is from RefSeq and is a predicted model, not a curated record. NCBI's taxonomy places the organism in Eukaryota, Viridiplantae, Streptophyta, Magnoliopsida, Cucurbitales, Cucurbitaceae.